RNAcentral lists this long non-coding RNA (5823 nucleotides) under Eucalyptus grandis. Its description in RNAcentral is "long non-coding RNA (EGRA_LNC006174)". The record is from RNAcentral. Lineage: Eukaryota; Viridiplantae; Streptophyta; Magnoliopsida; Myrtales; Myrtaceae.
GCUGGAGUAUCCUUAACUAAACUCAAAUCAAAAGUCAUGUACAGCACAGCCUUCAAUGCUUUUCAAACUUCCCUUCAAUCACGGUUUAAGACAAUUUAUACAUUAUAAAACCCUCUUUGGACCCUAUUACGUAGCAGAAAUUUGUCAACACGUUCCACAGGAAACAUUAUGAUGCUUUGUAACAGGAGAUUGCACGGAUAUCAAGUUCUUUUUACCAUUCUGACCACAGACAGACCUAAACAGAAUUGAUCACCGAGUUUUUGCUGCACUGAUGAAUGACGAAGUUGCAAAUCUCGCCAAUGGUCCAAUCUUUCAUCCUCGCAAGGAGGGAGAAGGCAUAUUGAAUGUCAAACGUUCAAUUUCCAUGAAAUUAGCGGAGUCUUACCACUGCCAUUGCGUAUGAUACAUCACGCGUCUCCUCCGAAGUGCAGUCUUGCAGGACUAUUUUGCAUGUGUAACAGUACAUUUCGCAUUUGUCCCAUGUGUAAGGCUCAUCACAUGAAUCCUGCAAUCAGUUUUCGCAUGAUGAUGUCCCAAGAUUAUUGUGUUGUUCUGUUCGGUCAUUGGAUGCCAACCUUAUAGAAUAUAAAGAGAAGGCCAAAAAAAAAAAAAAAAAAAAAGAGAGAGACAGAAGAGAAACUGACUAAACGAAAAUCUUUACUUCCUCCUUGUGCAUGGAUCAAUGAAGAUUGACAUCUAUGGUGCUCCAAUAUUUCAAGAAAAUGACUAACCAAGCCAAUUAACACUUGUAUCUUUCACAGAAAUAAUCAGCUACAGUUUCAUCAUAUGCUUCCACAAAGGAGAAACCAUGAGCAAAAUGGAGAAACCAUAAGCAACAGUCAAAUGAUUUUUAACAGAAAAGUGAGAAACCUAUUUACAUAAUGUCUGGAGACGACCAAAAAUGUUUGUGGUUUUGAAUGGUGUUCGGUAGCCCACUUGGGACAUCUAGGACAAACAACAUAAUGUAAUCUCAGAGUGCACUGAGGCUUUUUAACUUUUCAUGGAAAUGAUCAAAUAUAUGUGAAGAUAUAAAUAGGAGCACUCACUGGUGGACGGACCAGAAUGCCCUUCCAUAUAAAUCUUCCAAUCUCUAGACAAGAACAAGUUGAGGACAACUAAUCAAAGACCUGAAAUACCAUGUCCUUGUCAUACUCAUGGAGACUCAGUAGUACCAAAAAUAAGCUGCAAAUGAAUUUUGUGCACCUCCGUGAAGGAACUUAUUCAGUUUAAACAGGUCAAGUUGAGGACAAGAAUCUCUCUAAACCUAAAAGCCAGCUAUAUAAAUUUCAAAAGAGCAAGUGGAAGGGCAAAUUGAAGAUAUAUCCAGGUGAGAGGGAAUUUGUACUUUGAAAAAGGUUGAUUAUGACCAAAAUGGGGGCGGAUAUUGAUAUGCAUGUGUUCCUAGUUGAGGACAAAACAAAUGCACAUGGAGAGGGAGGGAGCGAGAGAGAGAGAGAGAGAGAGAUGGACCCUCCCUUCCAUGGAAGCUCUGUGGCUUGGGAAGUUGAGAUGCCUUUCCUAUCCUUCCGUUAUAUUGUUUGUAAAGGACAAGACUGUCCUCACUAUUUUUGUUCUUUCUAUUGUCCAAUGUGAAAUGCUCUCUGUUAUUUCAUUUCUUGUCUCCUUCCAAUCAAUGCCAUACCCCAGCACCACUCAACACUGAGAAACCACAAUUCCUUCAUCUCUAUUUAAACUUAGUACUAUACCAUUUCAUAUCAAGUGACAAGUACAUUCGCUUUACUCUGUCCAUUUGUAAACUGUAUCUCAACCUAUAACCUGACAUCGAACACCCUCCCGGUUUCUCUGCAAGUACUCUCUCCCUAUUUCUCUCUCCCCGCUAUGCUUUCCAAACUCUCAGAUGCCUUCAGAGCAUAUCCUGUCGAACUCCACCAUAAACAACUCGACUUUAGUUCAGCCGAAGAGUUGCCCGACUCAUAUGCAUGGACAGAACUUGGUGAGUACCCCUCUUCUCACUGUCCCAGCAAAGAGAGUUUGCCGAUCAUCGAUCUCAAUGACCCAAAUGCGCUAAAGCUAAUAGGCCAUGCAUGCAAAAGUUGGGGUGUAUAUCAAGUCACAAACCAUGGCAUACCAGAGGAGCUUCUUCAUGAUGUUGAGCGUGCAGCCAAGAAUCUUUUCUCUCUGCCGGUGCAACAAAAGCUCAAGGCAUCUCGUUCCCCAGAAGGCAUCUCGGGUUAUGGAGUCGCAAAAAUUUCUGCCUUUUUCCCUAAGCAAAUGUGGUCUGAGGGUUUCACCAUUAUGGGGUCACCAAUGGAACAUGCUCGCCGACUUUGGCCUCAAGAUUACAGCCUAUUCUGGUACUAAGUCGUAACUCACAAUUUUUCUUUUUCAAGCUACUUACUAUUAUCAAUGGAUGCAAAUAAUGCAAUUAAAACCAUGGACCCACCAAAAGAAUCUGAGAGACAGUGUCUAAAGAUCAAAUCUUCUAUUCACUCUUUGUUUAACCUUCAUUAGUCGAGCACCUUAACUCUCUUUUAAAUGCUUAAUUUUCCCUGUUAUUUGUUGCAGUGAUGUAAUUGAAAAGUACCAGAAAGAGAUGAAACAGCUAGCAGAAAGGUUGAUGUGGCUUAUGCUUGGCUCUUUGGGGUUGACAAAGGAAGACAUCAAAUGGAGCAGCCCUAAAGGAGAAUUCACAGGGGCAGUUGCUGCUUUGCAAUUGAAUUCUUACCCUGCUUGCCCAGACCCAGACAGGGCAAUGGGUCUUGCCGCUCACACAGACUCUACACUCCUCACAAUUCUUCAUCAAAAUAACACAAGUGGCUUGCAAGUGCUUAAAGAAGGCAGUGGAUGGAUCACAGUACCUCCACUUCCGGUGCACUUGUUGUUAAUGUGGGGGACCUCUUUCACAUAUUAUCAAAUGGCUUAUACCCAAGCGUCCUCCAUCGAGCAAUGGUUAACCGAACAGAGCACCGGUUAUCAGUUGCCUAUUUAUAUGGACCGCCGAGUUGGGUUCAAGUCUCACCUCUACCAGAACUAAUAGACUCUAAUCAUCCUCCACUUUACAAGCCAGUAACUUGGAGCGAGUACCUUGGGACCAAGGCAAAACAUUUCAACAAAGCACUGUCAUUAGUUCGGCUAUGUGCUCUCGUAAAUGAACUACCUGAUGUAAGUGAUAGUAUCGUGAAAGUCAGCUAAAGUUUUCUAGCUAUUGCCCCUCAAAGUGUGUAUUGGUCGGCAAGAUCAGAGGAACUGAAUUCCUGAGGAUUAAAGUGUGCAAGUCAAAUGACGAACCAGAUGAACUCCCAUGAGAAUGAACCAAAGGAUAAAUUGUGUCAAAUCAUAAAAGCGAAAGACAGCUUUUUGCCCAUUUGAAUAUUUAGGUGAAGGACAAACAAAAAGACAGCUUUUUGCCCAGAUGUGAAGGAUGAUCCUCCUCCAACGAAAAUGACGAAAAUCAAGGUAAAAAUUGUAGGACUAAUUAUUUAUCAAAUGAAGCUUGGAAGAUGACAAGGGACAAAUGAAGACAAUUACAGCUAUUUCUUGCAAAGGGGAAUUCGAACAAUGACAUUUUUAAAGCAGAAGUUAACUGAGAAUGUAAGGCCAUGACAUUUGACAGCAAGAGUAACAGAUCUCUCUCUCUCUCUCUCUCUCUCUCUCUCUCUCUCUCUCUCUCUGUGUCUCUCUCAUGCAGGCAUGUGGGCACACACACGCACACACACACACAAAGAUAAUGCGCAUACGCUUGUGGCAAAGCAGUACAUUAAUAUGCGUCAAUCUAUCAACCCUAUCAUGGCCUGGCAAAGAUUUGCAAGUUGAAAAUGAUAAUGCCCUUGAAGCCAUGUGCAAUAUUUUGCAUGUUGUCUAUUAAAGAGAUCAUCGGGGAGUUGUUUACAAUUUUGCUACUGUUUUGUUCUUUUUUUUCUCUCACCAGCAUAAACUAAGCUGCGCUCAAGGAAACAAAAAGCUUUCAACUUUUCCUUCACCUAAUCUAUUCAGCUUACUCCAUUUUCCAAAUGAGCAAGUUUAUGAGAACUAUGCUGCAUUUCAUAACUACUAGAAUCCAUCAGGCAACUUGUUUACUGUGGUAAAAGAUAACGAGGAACAUGGAUAUGCCAUCACUAAUCUAGGAAAAGUACCACACAUCAGAUUCUAGAUAUGAGAAGAAGUACCUAAAGCCCGGAGGCACGGAAAACAAACUUUUGUCCUUCUCUUGUUCUUUACAUGCUUAGGGAUCUCAGUCUUGAUCCUCCAUAGAUUGAAAAUUACACCAUUUGUUGAGGAUACCCAGGUCCUCGGAGUAUUGCUAUGCUCAGGCCAUGAAAACUUAUUAUAGAAAAAUAAGAAGCUCUGAAAAGAAUGGUGUGAGCAAGAGAAGUUUUGGUUUAUUUAGAGUAAGCAAGUUUUAAUUGCCAUUAACAAACUUUAAGAUAAUAAAAACGACUUGUGUGUGGCAGAAGUAGUCUCAGUUUCAGUAUCUGCAGAAGUAAAUAAUUCCUCCAUUUUGCUUAAAAGAAAGAUUACAGGAUUGUACCUUAUUAGUAAGAUGUACUCCACUACAAACAGUUAGUGUCUCGAUUAGGAUUGAGAUCAUUUAGUCACAUCACACAUGAGGUAGCUUUGGCACUCAACUUCACACAAAAUGUCAACUGAUUGCAAAUGUAUCUAUCAAAGAGAAGUUUUCUUGGAAAUGGAUUUGCAGCUGACUGACCAUAACUUGUGGAUGAUAUAAGCAUUCUCCACUUAUACUUCCAAACCAAAAUCAACACUUUUAGUAACUCUGAAAACAUGAGCCUAUUCAAAAAGGACCAAAGCGGUCGAUGACAAACGGUAUAUUUCUCUGCAUAUUAUUCAUUAUGUUUAACCAUGCUACUUCUAUGGCCAAUGGCUAUGCUAUUCAAAAAGGUGAAUCUAUUCAUGACUAGAGAAGCAUGAGUCAUAAGCAAAACAACCUUUGGUGGUUUAGGCCAUUAAUUCUUUCCAAGUGAACAAUAAGAGCGUUCUGCUCCUUCCGCACCCGCUAUUGUCCAACAAAUUUGCUCAAUUCCUUUUUAAGAAAAGCUUAUGCUCCUCCUCAUCAACUACUUAUCUGAUGGAGUGUCUACGCCAUGUCCAAUUGCCGUGGCGCAGCAGAUUACUGAUGACUCAGGCUUGCUUUAAAUUGUAAACUCGAAGCAACUCUGAACAAAACACAAAUCCCAUCCUCAUAAUCCGCUUGGCUUGCUCAAUCAUGCACCCCGCAAAGCCGCUCGGCCGCUCCAUCUCAAUAGUUUCUCAUUGUGACCACUGCCUGAUCGAUUGCGAAACAUCAACUAUUCGAUUUCCCACCCAAUUAGCCACAACAUCUGGGUAACUGAAAGAAACCAACAUUGACCAAAACCUCGGAAGAAUAACUCAUUAUUAUGAUGACUUAGCUAACAUUAUGCGGUUUAAAGCUGCUAAAAACCAAAAGGGUAAGCAGCGUUCGAGUGAUCAUGAACCGACAAUGCUUCCAUGGGGACACACCCGUGCAGGUGCGGAUAAAUCAAGCGAGGCGAAUGAGGAAAGCUAAUGCCAGCAGAGCCCACAUAAUUCCUGUGAUCACGAGAAGUCAAAGGCCAAACUACGCAUGCAAAAUCGAUGCCGAGUGCGGGAGAACAGUCGGUAUUCGUCGCUACAAUUUGGAUACCGAGUGUAGUAUAUAAAUGAGCAAACGGAAAUGGCUUGAAAACGAAGCACAGAGAGAGAGACAGAGAGAGAGAGAGAGAGAGAGAGAGAGAGAGAAGAUCACUUUGAACCUGCGUUAUCUCUGCUGAAGCUGAAGAAUUCACCGAUGAGCUCGAACGAAAACGAAGAGGAUUAGACGAAAAGCUCGAGAUGGCGCCGUUC